Molecule: ribosomal RNA, 253 nt
Filed under: uncultured bacterium
Lineage: Bacteria
Description: partial 16S ribosomal RNA
Rfam family: Bacterial small subunit ribosomal RNA
Source: RNAcentral
UACGGAGGGUGCGAGCGUUGUCCGGAAUCACUGGGCGUAAAGGGCGCGUAGGCGGCCUGAUAAGUAGGGGGUGAAAUCCUGCGGCUUAACCGCAGGGCUGCCUUCUAAACUGUCAGGCUCGAGCACAGUAGAGGCAGGUGGAAUUCCCGGUGUAGCGGUGGAAUGCGUAGAGAUCCGGAGGAACACCAGCGGCGAAGGCGGCAUCCUGGACUGGUCCUGACACUCAGGAGCGAAAGCGUGGGGAGCGAGCCGG